CAAGUGGGAGAUGAAGAAUAACCAUGUGGUUCUCCCAUUAGGAAGGAUCUUAGAUAACAACCAGCAGACUUAUCAUUUCAUUUUUAGGAUAAACUCAACUGGGAAGAGUACUCCUGUCAUGGAUCCUCAGAUGAACAAGCACUUAUAAAGGCUACUGACAAUAUUUCUUAAUCAAAAAGAAUCUACUUUACUAUCAAGUUUCAAGCUCGAGCAUCCAACAUACCUCCAUAUACUAACUGCCUGCUCCAUCCAUCCUACCUUUUACACUGCUGAAAAAAACUCCAGGAGGAAAGGACCUUGUUUGUCUUGUUCACUACUAUAUCCCCAUGGAUGCCUAGAAUAGUACCUGCAAUAAACGUGUUGCCUGAAUAA
Molecule: long non-coding RNA, 372 nt
Organism: Phacochoerus africanus (Common warthog)
Lineage: Eukaryota; Metazoa; Chordata; Mammalia; Artiodactyla; Suidae
Exons: 2
Source: RefSeq, a predicted model, not a curated record